Molecule: ribosomal RNA, 253 nt
Filed under: uncultured bacterium
Lineage: Bacteria
Description: partial 16S ribosomal RNA
Rfam family: Bacterial small subunit ribosomal RNA
Source: RNAcentral
UACAUGGGGUGCAAACGUUGCUCGGAAUUACUGGGCGUAAAGCGCACGUAGGCGGAUCGAUCAGUCAGGGGUGAAAUCCCAGGGCUCAACCCUGGAACUGCCUUUGAUACUGUCGAUCUGGAGUAUGGAAGAGGUGAGUGGAAUUCCGAGUGUAGAGGUGAAAUUCGUAGAUAUUCGGAGGAACACCAGUGGCGAAGGCGGCUCACUGGUCCAUUACUGACGCUGAGGUGCGAAAGCGUGGGGAGCAAACAGG